RNAcentral lists this long non-coding RNA (1071 nucleotides) under Trifolium pratense (red clover). RNAcentral describes it as "long non-coding RNA (TPRA_LNC006332)". Lineage: Eukaryota; Viridiplantae; Streptophyta; Magnoliopsida; Fabales; Fabaceae. The record is from RNAcentral.
AUGACAUAGGAGUGCCAUCAGCAGUCAUAACCGACAUAGAUGAUGUAGGAUUUAAAGACAAAAAGGACUUACGAUCAUACGACAUAUGAUGUGAUGCUCCAGAAUCAAAUAUCCAUAUAGAAGAAGAUAUAUGUGACAAGUUAGAGGGAGUCAAACCUUUAACAUAAGAGACAGAUGUGGCAUGAGGCUGAGCAGCAAGAAAAUUUUGGAACUUCUCUGCAAGAUCAAACACUGGUGAAGUAGUCUCGUGUGAGUAUAUAGGACCAAUACCAUAACCAACAGGGAGAGGAGCAAUAGAAGCAGCCAUAUCAAAUACAAGAAUUCACAAUUUUUCAAUCCGAUAGUCUUAGAACAAAAUAAAGUAGUGCUUAACUGCUAACCAACAAUAAGCCUUCAAACAAAAUCAGCCAAGGGAGUUUAACGUCACCUACCAAGUUUUCAAUUCCAAUUGAAACAAUUAAACAAACACUUCACAGGCAAGACAAAUGAUGUAGUGGGGUUACCAAGUUUUCACAAACAAAUUGAAUUGAAACAAGAAAAUAAAUUCUUCACCAAAUUGAGUGGAAUUACCAAGUCUUAAAAAAUCCAAUUGAAACAACAAUCACCAUGGCUGUGAGACUCACAUACAGAAGCCGUCAUAGCUAUGCCACUAAAUCCAACCAGCAUCGUAUUGUUAGGGAAAGGAUUAUUCAUGCUUUCCUUGUUGAAGAGCAAAAAAAUCGUAACGAAGGUUUUGAAGAUCCAGAAGACAAAAGAAAAGCUAGCAUCCAAGAGUUAAGCAGAGUUGAUCAUUGAUGGAAAAAAGUUAAAAAUCCAAUUGAAACUACAAAACAAAUUCUUCACACCAAUCGGUGAUUUGGGAUUCUCAUACUAUCACGCUCUAUUUUUUUUUUAACACAUCACUUUAUGAGACAAUCAACCAAGCUCUUUGAUACCAUGUUAAACAACGGUGAACAUAUAGAGAAGAAGAAUAACAAAGGAGAAGAGAACACCCUUUAGGUUAGGGUUUCAAUCAUAUGAGCAAAGCUUAAUGAAACAAUAGUACAAUAGAGUAUAUAAACUAGAAAUUAG